RNAcentral lists this transfer RNA (73 nucleotides) under Ictidomys tridecemlineatus (thirteen-lined ground squirrel). RNAcentral describes it as "Spermophilus tridecemlineatus (thirteen-lined ground squirrel) tRNA". It matches the Rfam family "tRNA". From Rfam's summary of the family: Transfer RNA (tRNA) molecules are approximately 80 nucleotides in length. Their secondary structure includes four short double-helical elements and three loops (D, anti-codon, and T loops). Lineage: Eukaryota; Metazoa; Chordata; Mammalia; Rodentia; Sciuridae. The record is from Rfam by way of RNAcentral.
GGGGUUGUAGCUCAGUGACGGGUAGAGCACUUGCCUAGCAUGCAUGAGGCACUGGGUUUGAUCCUCAGCACCA